UUUCCAGACUCCUACGGGAGGCAGCAGUGGGGAAUAUUGCACAAUGGGGGAAACCCUGAUGCAGCGACGCCGCGUGAAGGAAGAAGUAUUUCGGUAUGUAAACUUCUAUCAGCAGGGAAGAAAAUGACGGUACCUGACUAAGAAGCCCCGGCUAACUACGUGCCAGCAGCCGCGGUGAUACGUAGGGGGCAAGCGUUAUCCGGAUUUACUGGGUGUAAAGGGAGCGUAGGCGGUGCAGCAAGUCAGAAGUGAAAGCCCGAGGCUCAACUGCGGAACGGCUUUGGAAACUGAGUAACUGGAGUGCUGGAGGGGCAGGCGGAAUUCCUGGUGUAGCGGCGAAAUGCGUAGAUAUCAGGAGGAACACCGGUGGCGAAGGCGGCCUGCUGGACAGUAACUGACGUUGAGGCUCGAAAGCGUGGGGAGCAAACAGGAUUAGAUACCCGAGUAGUG
RNAcentral lists this ribosomal RNA (450 nucleotides) under uncultured bacterium. Its description in RNAcentral is "bacterial SSU rRNA". It matches the Rfam family "Bacterial small subunit ribosomal RNA", at positions 328 to 795 of the family's 1533-position model. The record is from RNAcentral.